GCUCAAGAUAGCGCUUUUGAAGACAAGAACUGAACUCAACUGCCUGAAUGGCGCCUGCAUGAUCCGAGCGCUGUGCAUCAUGGUAGAACCGGAGGACAUCCUAUCGAAGUACCUAUCGGAGCAAAAAAUGGUGGAACUAGAUAAAAUCACCGAAAUGUGCAAACCAUGAUGUCUUCAUUACGAAAUAUGCACUCCUGCUUGACUUGAGAAGCGUGCGUCGUGAAUAAAAAGAGAGAAUCAUCCA
RNAcentral lists this long non-coding RNA (244 nucleotides) under Dermacentor andersoni. Its description in RNAcentral is "uncharacterized LOC126548442". The record is from RNAcentral. Lineage: Eukaryota; Metazoa; Arthropoda; Arachnida; Ixodida; Ixodidae.